GCUGUGAUGGCUGAGUGGUUAAGGUGUUGGACUUGAAAUCCAAUGGGGUGUCCCUGUGUAGGUUCAGAUCCUGCUCACGGCG
Molecule: non-coding RNA, 82 nt
Organism: Chrysemys picta bellii (western painted turtle)
Lineage: Eukaryota; Metazoa; Chordata; Testudines; Emydidae
Source: the annotation of a RefSeq genome assembly